This is a long non-coding RNA of Ornithodoros turicata, 651 nucleotides long. RefSeq lists it as uncharacterized. Lineage: Eukaryota; Metazoa; Arthropoda; Arachnida; Ixodida; Argasidae. The transcript is spliced from 3 exons. The record is from RefSeq and is a predicted model, not a curated record.
CACAUUCUCGAACUCCCAUUGUCUCCAUUGUACGUCCAGCCCCUGCAAUUUACGCUCAAAUUUCUAUUUUAUAAUAGGAUCGUUUUUGCAGAAAACAUCAUACGAGUUAUAUUCGCGGGUAAACAAUAUAGGCUACGAUAUUCGUCUGAAAACCAUAUCCCGUUUAGCACUGCAAAAAUACAGAAUACAGCGGCACGACGCAGACGACACUCGUGCUCAGUUGCAGACGACACAUUUCGUUCUUCAGGUGCCGCGGCUCGUGACAAGCACUACUCACGUCCCUCCCACCCAACUUCUUUACUCCUGUACCAUCCAAGUCUACUUAUGUGGACUGCUCAUCACUACGGACACUGCCCAUCACUAACACAUCACUACACCUGCAGCAUGGUGAUAGCAAGAAACUAAAAAGUCGCAAGGAAGCCCUGAGAAUAAGCUAUUUUCUAGAGAAAAACAUUUGCUUCUUCAUGGUACUUCCAUUAUUUUAUCAUGAUGUUCUUGGGCAUUGAUAAACUGCAUGAAACAAAAGACCAAGUACCCUGCAUAAUUGGGUAUAUAAAUAGAGUAGAAAGUACCAUACUCACCUCAUGAGAGCUCAGUGAUGUGCACUGUAGACAUUGCUCCGCGUGUCUGAGAUACGCCUUCCCCACAAAC